ACUCAAAGGAAUUGACGGGGACCCGCACAAGCAGCGGAGCAUGUGGUUUAAUUCGAAGCAACGCGAAGAACCUUACCAGGGCUUGACAUGCCCCUGACCGCUCUAGAGAUAGGGCCUUCCCUUCGGGGACAGGGGACACAGGUGGUGCAUGGUUGUCGUCAGCUCGUGUCGUGAGAUGUUGGGUUAAGUCCCGUAACGAGCGCAACCCUUGUCUUUAGUUGCUAACAGGUUAAGCUGAGCACUCUAGAGAGACUGCCGAUGACAAAUCGGAGGAAGGUGGGGAUGACGUCAAAUCAUCAUGCCCUUUAUGUCCUGGGCUACACACGUGCUACAAUGGUCGGUACAACGAGCAGCUACACAGCGAUGUGAUGCUAAUCUCUUAAAGCCGAUCUCAGUUCGGAUUGCAGGCUGCAACUCGCCUGCAUGAAGUCGGAGUUGCUAGUAAUCGCGAAUCAGCAUGUCGCGGUGAAUGCGUUCCCGGGUCUUGUACACACCGCCCGU
RNAcentral lists this ribosomal RNA (501 nucleotides) under uncultured bacterium. Its description in RNAcentral is "bacterial SSU rRNA". It matches the Rfam family "Bacterial small subunit ribosomal RNA", at positions 899 to 1397 of the family's 1533-position model. The record is from RNAcentral.